UGUGCUAAGGUGCGCAGCUCAUCAUAGGAUUAUCACAUCUAGAAUUCUGGUUCUUAGAGCUUUGGUUUCUAUAACCCUUAUUUGCUUGUCUUGUCUUUUGUUUUACGGGUUUCAAGCUUCAGCACAAAUCUUCUGUAGGAAAUCUUGUACUCAAAGUGUAGAAAAAUGCCGUUUUUGUGAAAUGUCACAGGAGCUACAUUACUAACAUUGUUGUAAUGUUUGUAUGGCAGCCUAUUCUUUAAUCCGUUCAAUUACAGAGUUUAUGAUUAUGUAAAUGGAGUAUGAGAUCUGAGAAGAAAAAAAAGGUAAUAGUACUUUCGUUCACAGGCAGAUUCAACAUAUCCUCGUUUACUUCCCCAUUGUCUUCUGACUGACUCCUUAAAUCAUCAACAUGUGUGUAUAUAUAGUUGCAUCUGAUUCAAGGAAGAUAAUGGACAAGUACAUUGGUAUGAACAGGUCGUCGAUUUUGAUAGAAAAUGCUACAGAAUACACAUCAACUAUUAUGCUACAGAAUACACAUAAUUAGUUAUAGAUCAGUAGGCUACUCAUCUGGUUAGUUUUCUCAAGUCAUUUCUUCUCUGUGUAUAUAUGUUAUUUUCCUUUUUACACUAACAAGAGUUUCGUGC
RNAcentral lists this long non-coding RNA (626 nucleotides) under Triticum aestivum (bread wheat). RNAcentral's name for it is "long non-coding RNA (TAES_LNC002836)". Lineage: Eukaryota; Viridiplantae; Streptophyta; Magnoliopsida; Poales; Poaceae. The record is from RNAcentral.